This 449-nucleotide ribosomal RNA is filed under the name uncultured bacterium. RNAcentral's name for it is "partial 16S ribosomal RNA". It matches the Rfam family "Bacterial small subunit ribosomal RNA", at positions 29 to 523 of the family's 1533-position model. The record is from RNAcentral.
AACGAACGCUGGCGGCAGGCUUAACACAUGCAAGUCGAACGCCCUAGCAAUAGGGAGUGGCGCACGGGUGAGUAACGCGUGGGAAUAUACCGUUUAGUGGGGAAUAACGUUGGGAAACUAACGCUAAUACCGCAUACGCCCGAGAGGGGAAAGAUUUAUCGCUAAACGAUUAGCCCGCGUGAGAUUAGGUAGUUGGUGGGGUAAUGGCCUACCAAGCCUACGAUCUCUAGCUGAUCUGAGAGGAUGAUCAGCCACACUGGAACUGAGACACGGUCCAGACUCCUACGGGAGGCAGCAGUGGGGAAUAUUGGACAAUGGGCGCAAGCCUGAUCCAGCCAUGCCGCGUGAGUGAUGAAGGCCUUAGGGUUGUAAAGUUCUUUCGCCGAUGAAGAUAAUGACGGUAGUCGGAGAAGAAGCCCCGGCUAACUUCGUGCCAGCCGCCGCCGUAA